This 45-nucleotide non-coding RNA is filed under the name Schistosoma margrebowiei. The record is from RNAcentral. Lineage: Eukaryota; Metazoa; Platyhelminthes; Trematoda; Strigeidida; Schistosomatidae.
AUUCAGCCGAUAAGUCCAAAAUAGGACGAAACUCGCUUUCUGAAU